This 1447-nucleotide ribosomal RNA is filed under the name Limosilactobacillus fermentum. RNAcentral's name for it is "bacterial SSU rRNA". It matches the Rfam family "Bacterial small subunit ribosomal RNA". Lineage: Bacteria; Bacillati; Bacillota; Bacilli; Lactobacillales; Lactobacillaceae. The record is from RNAcentral.
UGCAAGUCGAACGCGUUGGCCCAAUUGAUUGAUGGUGCUUGCACCUGAUUGAUUUUGGUCGCCAACGAGUGGCGGACGGGUGAGUAACACGUAGGUAACCUGCCCAGAAGCGGGGGACAACAUUUGGAAACAGAUGCUAAUACCGCAUAACAGCGUUGUUCGCAUGAACAACGCUUAAAAGAUGGCUUCUCGCUAUCACUUCUGGAUGGACCUGCGGUGCAUUAGCUUGUUGGUGGGGUAACGGCCUACCAAGGCGAUGAUGCAUAGCCGAGUUGAGAGACUGAUCGGCCACAAUGGGACUGAGACACGGCCCAUACUCCUACGGGAGGCAGCAGUAGGGAAUCUUCCACAAUGGGCGCAAGCCUGAUGGAGCAACACCGCGUGAGUGAAGAAGGGUUUCGGCUCGUAAAGCUCUGUUGUUAAAGAAGAACACGUAUGAGAGUAACUGUUCAUACGUUGACGGUAUUUAACCAGAAAGUCACGGCUAACUACGUGCCAGCAGCCGCGGUAAUACGUAGGUGGCAAGCGUUAUCCGGAUUUAUUGGGCGUAAAGAGAGUGCAGGCGGUUUUCUAAGUCUGAUGUGAAAGCCUUCGGCUUAACCGGAGAAGUGCAUCGGAAACUGGAUAACUUGAGUGCAGAAGAGGGUAGUGGAACUCCAUGUGUAGCGGUGGAAUGCGUAGAUAUAUGGAAGAACACCAGUGGCGAAGGCGGCUACCUGGUCUGCAACUGACGCUGAGACUCGAAAGCAUGGGUAGCGAACAGGAUUAGAUACCCUGGUAGUCCAUGCCGUAAACGAUGAGUGCUAGGUGUUGGAGGGUUUCCGCCCUUCAGUGCCGGAGCUAACGCAUUAAGCACUCCGCCUGGGGAGUACGACCGCAAGGUUGAAACUCAAAGGAAUUGACGGGGGCCCGCACAAGCGGUGGAGCAUGUGGUUUAAUUCGAAGCUACGCGAAGAACCUUACCAGGUCUUGACAUCUUGCGCCAACCCUAGAGAUAGGGCGUUUCCUUCGGGAACGCAAUGACAGGUGGUGCAUGGUCGUCGUCAGCUCGUGUCGUGAGAUGUUGGGUUAAGUCCCGCAACGAGCGCAACCCUUGUUACUAGUUGCCAGCAUUAAGUUGGGCACUCUAGUGAGACUGCCGGUGACAAACCGGAGGAAGGUGGGGACGACGUCAGAUCAUCAUGCCCCUUAUGACCUGGGCUACACACGUGCUACAAUGGACGGUACAACGAGUCGCGAACUCGCGAGGGCAAGCAAAUCUCUUAAAACCGUUCUCAGUUCGGACUGCAGGCUGCAACUCGCCUGCACGAAGUCGGAAUCGCUAGUAAUCGCGGAUCAGCAUGCCGCGGUGAAUACGUUCCCGGGCCUUGUACACACCGCCCGUCACACCAUGAGAGUUUGUAACACCCAAAGUCGGCUGGGGUAACCUUUUAGGAGCCAGCCGCCU